ACUAUACUCCCUCCGCCCGGAAAUACUUGUUAUAAGAAUGGAUGUAUCUAGAUGUAUUUUAGUUCUAGAUACAUCGUUUUCUAUCCAUUUGUGCAACAAGUACUUCCGGACGGAGGGAGUAUAAG
Hordeum vulgare subsp. vulgare (domesticated barley) is the source of this 125-nucleotide non-coding RNA. NCBI's taxonomy places the organism in Eukaryota, Viridiplantae, Streptophyta, Magnoliopsida, Poales, Poaceae. The record is from Rfam.